UGACAGUUUGGUUCUGGUUGCUAGAUUGGCUAGCUCUUUAAUCGAUUAACACAUGGUAGUUUAGGCGUAUUAUGAGUAAUUUAUGCGGGGGGUGGUUUGCUUAGAGAGUUAAUCUUGCUUCGUAACAAUAGAUAAUGAGGGAAUUCUUGUGAAGAUUAGUUUUAUCCAUAACUCCAGUGGGAAGGAUUUAACAAUUGGCGUCAGCCAGAUUAAGUUAGGGAGCAUUAGGGGGGUCUAAUCAGGUGCCAGCAGUCGCGGUUAAACCUGACUGCUCAAGUCAAUUUUAUAUAAGCGUAAAAGGUGGUUAGGCAAGUUAAUAUUGUAAGGGAAAAGAAGCAUAAACUUAGGAGUUAAAGGUUAAAUUUUUAAACCCCUCAGGGAGAUUGGUUAUGCUUCUUUGUGUUGAAUCCACGGAACCAUGGGCUGUAGACAAGGAUUAGGUACCCUUUUAUUCUUGGUGUAAAUUUUGUUUUGCUAACUGCUUGAGGACUACGAGCGUUUUGCUUAAAACUCAAAGGACAUGGCGGCUAGCCAAUCUAAUUAGGGGAACAUGUGCCUUAAUACGAAAGUGCGCGAUUUAUCAUACCAUGUCUUGAAAACAGUCAGCCGGUGUAUUGCCGUUGUCAAGUAAUGGUUAAGCUUGUAUAAUUAGUUCAAUGAGACUGUGCUCCUUUAGUGGAGAGUUUUCGUGAAUUCAGGUCAAAAUGCUGCUAAUGGCAUGGGGGUCGGGUGUUACAAUCUAUAAUUGGGAUACGGAAACUAUAGACUACAACAGUUGAGUUGUUGCAUAUGAAAUUUUAGUGGAAGGUGAACUUAAAAGUAAAGAGAAAUUAGGAUGUUUUCUUGAAUGAGCUAUGGCUAGUGUACAAACUGCCCGUCACUCUCCCCGAGAGGGGAGAUAAGUCGUAACAAGGUAGGGGUACCGGAAGGUGCGCCCUGAAAAGAA
Molecule: ribosomal RNA, 946 nt
Filed under: Propeamussium sp. mt1
Lineage: Eukaryota; Metazoa; Mollusca; Bivalvia; Pectinida; Propeamussiidae
Description: 12S ribosomal RNA
Rfam family: Bacterial small subunit ribosomal RNA
Source: RNAcentral